RNAcentral lists this ribosomal RNA (239 nucleotides) under uncultured Lactobacillus sp. RNAcentral's name for it is "partial 16S ribosomal RNA". It matches the Rfam family "Bacterial small subunit ribosomal RNA", at positions 125 to 355 of the family's 1533-position model. Lineage: Bacteria; Bacillati; Bacillota; Bacilli; Lactobacillales; Lactobacillaceae. The record is from RNAcentral.
CCGUAGCCCAAGAGAUCGGGAUAACACCUGGAAACAGAUGCUAAUACCGGAUAACAACAGAUGAUGCCUAUCAACUGUUUAAAAGAUGGUUCUGCUAUCACUCUUGGAUGGACCUGCGGUGCAUUAGCUAGUUGGUAGGGUAACGGCCUACCAAGGCGAUGAUGCAUAGCCGAGUUGAGAGACUGAUCGGCCACAUUGGGACUGAGACACGGCCCAAACUCCUACGGGAGGCAGCAGUU